UACGUAGGGGGCGAGCGUUGUCCGGAUUUACUGGGCGUAAAGGGCACGCAGGCGGUCCUGUCAGUUUCUAGUGACAGGUCAGAGCUUAACUCUGACAGGCCUAGAAAGACGGCAGGACUUGAGUACUUCAGAGGGACGCGGAAUUCCAGGUGGAGCGGUGAAAUGCGUAGAGAUCUGGAGGAACACCGGUGGCGAAGGCGGCUUGCUGGGCCUUACCUGACGCUGAGGAGCGAAAGCGUGGGGAGCGAACAGG
This 253-nucleotide ribosomal RNA is filed under the name uncultured bacterium. RNAcentral describes it as "partial 16S ribosomal RNA". It matches the Rfam family "Bacterial small subunit ribosomal RNA", at positions 524 to 776 of the family's 1533-position model. The record is from RNAcentral.